GUUAUCUCGGCGGUUUACAGCCGUAUUAUCUGUGCGCACCACCGCACCACCUACGGUGAACAUGGUAGUCACAAGAGACGGCAGCAGUACAACGAACAGCGGAAAGCGCAUAAUGACUUCCGUUCGUCGGACAACGAGAAACAUCGAAAAUAAAACGACGUGCCGAUAUCCACGGACUCCGAAUCGCACAUACCCGAAGGCUCUGAAAGUAUUUUUAUGAGUAUGACAUAAGAAUUAGCCCUAACAUUUUUAACAUUCAAUGCAAUAAAUAGUACUUUUUGAAA
Long non-coding RNA from Helicoverpa zea (corn earworm), 284 nucleotides. RefSeq lists it as uncharacterized. The record is from RefSeq and is a predicted model, not a curated record. The transcript has 2 exons. NCBI's taxonomy places the organism in Eukaryota, Metazoa, Arthropoda, Insecta, Lepidoptera, Noctuidae.